Molecule: ribosomal RNA, 433 nt
Filed under: uncultured bacterium
Lineage: Bacteria
Description: partial 16S ribosomal RNA
Rfam family: Bacterial small subunit ribosomal RNA
Source: RNAcentral
AACGAACGCUGGCGGCAGGCCUAACACAUGCAAGUCGAGCGAGGACUUCGGUCCUAGCGGCGGACGGGUGAGUAACGCGUGGGAACGUGCCCUUUGCUUCGGAAUAGCCCUGGGAAACUUGGAUUAAUACCGGUUGAGCCCUUUGGGGGAAAGAUUUACUGGCGAAGGAUCGGCCCGCGUUGGAUUCGGUGGUUGGUGGGGUAAUGGCCUCCCAUGCCGACGAUCCAUAGCUGGUUGGUGAGGAUGAUAAUCCACACUGGGACUGAGGCACGGCCCAGACUCCUACGGGGGGCAGGAGUGGGGAAUAUUAGACGAUGGGGGAAGCCCUAGUAUAGCCAUGCCGGGUAAGCGAUGAAGGCCUUAGGGUUGUAAAGCUCUUUCAGCUGGGAAGAUAAUGACGGUACCAGCAGAAGAAGCCCCGGCUAACUCCGUG